RNAcentral lists this small RNA (722 nucleotides) under Spisula solidissima (Atlantic surf clam). RNAcentral describes it as "cnRNA158". The record is from RNAcentral. Lineage: Eukaryota; Metazoa; Mollusca; Bivalvia; Venerida; Mactridae.
AACAGUAUAGCAAUUACAAUGUUCCAACUGCCUACCAUUCAACAGUAUAGCAAUUACAAUGUUCUUACUGCCUACCAUUCAACAGUAUAGCAAUUACAAUGUUCCAACUGCCUACCAUUCAACAGUAUAGCAAUUACAAUGUUCUUACUGCCUACCGUUCAACAGUAUAGCAAUUACAAUGUUCUUACUGCCUACCAUUCAACAGUAUAGCAAUUACAAUGUUCUUACUGCCUACCAUUCAACAGUAUAGCAAUUACAAUGUUCUUACUGCCUACCAUUCAACAGUAUAGCAAUUACAAUGUUCCAACUGCCUACCAUGCUACAUUAUAACACCUAGAAUGUUCUAACUGCCUACCAUGCUACAUUAUAACACCUAGAAUGUUCUUACUGCAUACCAUGCUACAUUAUAACACCUAGAAUGUUCUUACUGCAUACCAUGCUACAUUAUAACACCUAGAAUGUUCUAACUGCCUACCAUGCUACAUUAUAACACCUAGAAUGUUCUAACUGCCUACCAUGCUACAUUAUAACACCUAGAAUGUUCUAACUGCCUACCAUGCUACAUUAUAACACCUAGAAUGUUCUUACUGCCUACCAUGCUACAUUAUAACACCUAGAAUGUUCUAACUGGCUACCAUGCUACAUUAUAACAGCUAGAAUGUUCUUACUGCAUACCAUGCUACAUUAUAACAACCUAGAAUGUCCUAACUGCCUACCAUGCU